Molecule: ribosomal RNA, 709 nt
Filed under: uncultured bacterium
Lineage: Bacteria
Description: bacterial SSU rRNA
Rfam family: Bacterial small subunit ribosomal RNA
Source: RNAcentral
UGCAGUCGACGAUGACCUCCAGCUUGCUGGGGUGAUUAGUGGCGAACGGGUGAGUAACACGUGAGUAACCUGCCCUUCACUCCGGGAUAAGCACUGGAAACGGUGUCUAAUACCGGAUACGACCUCCGACCGCAUAGUCAGGGGGUGGAAAGAAUUUUGGUGGAGGAUGGACUCGCGGCCUAUCAGGUAGUUGGUGAGGUAAUGGCUCACCAAGCCGACGACGGGUAGCCGGCCUGAGAGGGUGACCGGCCACACUGGGACUGAGACACGGCCCAGACUCCUACGGGAGGCAGCAGUGGGGAAUAUUGCACAAUGGGCGAAAGCCUGAUGCAGCAACGCCGCGUGAGGGACGACGGCCUUCGGGUUGUAAACCUCUUUUAGUAGGGAAGAAGCGAAAGUGACGGUACCUGCAGAAAAAGCACCGGCUAACUACGUGCCAGCAGCCGCGGUAAUACGUAGGGUGCAAGCGUUGUCCGGAAUUAUUGGGCGUAAAGAGCUCGUAGGCGGUUUGUCGCGUCUGCUGUGAAAUCCGGAGGCUCAACCUCCGGCCUGCAGUGGGUACGGGCAGACUAGAGUGCGGUAGGGGAGAUUGGAAUUCCUGGUGUAGCGGUGGAAUGCGCAGAUAUCAGGAGGAACACCAAUGGCGAAGGCAGAUCUCUGGGCCGUAACUGACGCUGAGGAGCGAAAGCAUGGGGAGCGAACAGGAUUA